CCCCUGGUGGUCCAGUGGUUAAGACUCUGCACUUCCAUUGCAGGGAGCGCAGGUUCAGUGCCUGAUCAGGGAA
Non-coding RNA from Bos taurus (domestic cattle), 73 nucleotides. Lineage: Eukaryota; Metazoa; Chordata; Mammalia; Artiodactyla; Bovidae. The record is from Rfam.